CGGGCGGACGGGUGAGUAACGCGUGGGUAACUACCCUGUACACACGGAUAACAUACCGAAAGGUAAUGCUAAUACGGGAUAAUAUAUUUGAGAGGCAUCUCUUGAAUAUCAAAGGUGAGCCAGUACAGGAUGGACCCGCGUCUGAUUAGCUAGUUGGUAAGGUAACGGCUUACCAAGGCGACGAUCAGUAGCCGACCUGAGAGGGUGAUGGCCACAUUGGAACUGAGACACGGUCCAA
This 238-nucleotide ribosomal RNA is filed under the name uncultured bacterium. Its description in RNAcentral is "partial 16S ribosomal RNA". It matches the Rfam family "Bacterial small subunit ribosomal RNA", at positions 95 to 334 of the family's 1533-position model. The record is from RNAcentral.